Molecule: long non-coding RNA, 562 nt
Filed under: Mus pahari (shrew mouse)
Lineage: Eukaryota; Metazoa; Chordata; Mammalia; Rodentia; Muridae
Description: lncRNA (MGP_PahariEiJ_G0006253.1)
Source: RNAcentral
CUUGGGGACCGAGCAACUGGAGAUGAGUUCAGCUCUGUAAUGACAAUGUGACCUUAGGUGAGUCACUUGCCCUCUCUGAGCUGUCCUCUUCGCCUGGCCCUGCUUUCUGCCUGUAGUCACCAGAAUCAGGCAGACGAACAAAUUUUACAGAAAGGAGAAAGAUUCCGGUGUCGUUGUGUACUGAGAGCCUCCUUUUCUCAUGCAGUCUGAGCUGAGCCGGAAGUGCUCAUCCGCUCCUCUGGUACCUUCUCUCUGCAUUAAAUUCCCCUCAGUCGGGCACCCCUGGACUCCUACAUUAUAGGUGACAGACACUGCUGGGCUGCAAAACUGGAACUCAGCAAGGACAGGGUGACCAUGGAGUCCGUGAAGCCCCUCCCACCUGCUCCUUCUCAGAGUGUCAGGCUCUGGGCAGGGUUCACCUGCUACCAGAUAUCUGAAGGCAGAGAUUCCAGGCUUGUGUUGUCCUGGGCACCCCAUGACUGAAGACCCCAGACCUUUCCAUGUUGAAGAGGGCUCAGUCUGGGAAGAAAAACAGCAUCCGGUGUUAAAAACAUGAACCUUA